AUCGCUUCUCGGCCUUUUGGCUAAGAUCAAGUGUAGUAUCUGUUCUUAUCAGUUUAAUAAAAUGAGGAUAAGAACCCAUUAACUGAUAUUUUCCUACCCCUACAAAAGACAGCAAAAUUCAUCUAUGAAUUUUAACUAUGCAUAUGACUUAAUAGGUAUUUACACAAGCGUCGAUAAUAACUCAGGCCUA
Suricata suricatta (meerkat) is the source of this 190-nucleotide small nuclear RNA. Its record names the gene U2. It matches the Rfam family "U2 spliceosomal RNA". From Rfam's summary of the family: U2 is a small nuclear RNA (snRNA) component of the spliceosome (involved in pre-mRNA splicing). Complementary binding between U2 snRNA (in an area lying towards the 5' end but 3' to hairpin I) and the branchpoint sequence (BPS) of the intron results the bulging out of an unpaired adenosine, on the BPS, which initiates a nucleophilic attack at the intronic 5' splice site, thus starting the first of two transesterification reactions that mediate splicing. The record is from Ensembl. Lineage: Eukaryota; Metazoa; Chordata; Mammalia; Carnivora; Herpestidae.